GAUGAACGCUGGCGGCGUGCCUAAUACAUGCAAGUCGAGCGAACGGACGAGAAGCUUGCUUCUCUGAUGUUAGCGGCGGACGGGUGAGUAACACGUGGAUAACCUACCUAUAAGACUGGGAUAACUUCGGGAAACCGGAGCUAAUACCGGAUAAUAUUUUGAACCGCAUGGUUCAAAAGUGAAAGACGGUCUUGCUGUCACUUAUAGAUGGAUCCGCGCUGCAUUAGCUAGUUGGUAAGGUAACGGCUUACCAAGGCAACGAUGCAUAGCCGACCUGAGAGGGUGAUCAGCCACACUGGAACUGAGACACGGUCCAGACUCCUACGGGAGGCAGCAGUAGGGAAUCUUCCGCAAUGGGCGAAAGCCUGACGGAGCAACGCCGCAUGAGUGAUGAAGGUCUUCGGAUCGUAAAACUCUGUUAUUAGGGAAGAACAUAUGUGUAAGUAACUGUGCACAUCUUGACGGUACCUAAUCAGAAAGCCACGGCUAACUACGUG
Molecule: ribosomal RNA, 497 nt
Filed under: uncultured bacterium
Lineage: Bacteria
Description: partial 16S ribosomal RNA
Rfam family: Bacterial small subunit ribosomal RNA
Source: RNAcentral